RNAcentral lists this long non-coding RNA (1290 nucleotides) under Marmota monax (woodchuck). Lineage: Eukaryota; Metazoa; Chordata; Mammalia; Rodentia; Sciuridae. The record is from RNAcentral.
GUUCUUGGUACUCAAUGAUCAUUUAUUAAUACACUCAACUUUUAAUAAGAGUCCAAGCUAUUAAGUUACCUCAAGAUCUUAGAAAUUAUCUUAAAGUUGACAUACUAAAAAAUACAAUUCAAGUAAAAAGUUUUCUCCAUUCACAAAAUUCAUUUGCAUUCCAAUGAACAAGAAUUAUUUGUAUUUCUAUCUAUUUCGUACAACUAACAGAGGGCUGGACCCUUCUGGAAAACUGAGGCAGCACAGAGAUUCCCCCUUCAAGCCCCAAUUCUUGUGGUCAAGUCAGAAAGACUUCAGAAAUGUCACUCAGAGUAACAGGCAUGAAUUUAUUGAAAGGAUAGGAAAAGGGAAAGGGGACACUCUAAAGGGAGACAGUGGGUCCAUCAGAGAGGACCUGAACUCUAGUUUUAUUGGGGAUUCCAGAGUAGUUUCCAGAGAGUUACACCCAGGUCUACCUCUUAACAUUCCACUGACAGCAGGAUUAUAUCAAACUUUCAAGUCCCUACUGCCAUGACAACUCUAGAUUACUUUGGUCCUUGCUGACUGGUUCUAAUUGGAUUCUUCACCAUAAAUGCUUACAGAUUUUAUGAUUAGGAAGGAAUUAUCCUUAUCUCCCUGCAUUUUAGGAUCAUUUAUGAAAAGGAUCACAAAAGUCUCCCCCUUCAGGGUAACUUGGGUUCCUCUUAUCCACAUUAUUUCAGGUCUGCAUUUCUCCUGCAGAUAACUAGUUUGCUGAGGAAUGUGGCAUAUCCUGUCCACUUAAACCAAACAAGUUUGUGGGUAAAUUACUUCUUGAAAAAGAAAGCCCUCAGGUAAUCACAGUGGGCCCAAUUUAUAGAAUUAUUUCCCUUAACCUUGUGUUCCCACCACUUGCAUCUAUUGUCCCCUAUUAGUACAAUAACUAAAACAACGAAAGAUGUCAAAACUAGCAAGCUUAUUCAAAGUACAUGUAUGAAGACAAGAACUGGUGUAAGUAUACUUUGUAUACAACCAGAGAUAUAAAAAAUCUGUGCUCUAUAUGUGUAAUAUGAAUUGUAAUGCAUUCUGCUGUCAUAUAUAAUUAAAUUAAUUAAAAAUGCAGCAAUGAAUUAAAAAAAAAGAAAAAUCUAACAAACUUGUGCAAUACAACACCAAGCAUUCCACAGACUACCCUGUAAUCUUUUUUUCUGAUCUUUUCAAAUCCUUUCCUAUUUUUUCUGGACACUAUUUUCUUCUACUUCUCAGUGCCUCUUCCCCACUAUCCUUAAGCUGUUCUAAUAACCUCACAGGUAUAGCCUGGUGAAAUCUGAC